CGGAUGGUCUUGUUUGUUUUGUCCAUGGUGUUUUCCAGGUGCUACCAGUUGCGUAGCCUUAGCCUUCCGCUCUUUCUCUGUGCUGCCUGGAUUAUUGGACUUUAUAUUUCUGGAAUUCAUCAUUAAAAUCUUCAUUUCAACCUGGGUCCUCAACAUCUGCCUCACCACCUCAUCCAACCGCACUUCAUGACAACAUGUGGGGUUGACUACGCCUAAAGUCCAGGUCUGAAUCAUGGACUGAGAUCAUCCAUCCAUCCAUCCAUCCAUCCUCCUCUCCAGGAUAGCACAAUCUUCUGCUGCAGGUCAGAGGAGCUCAAGCUGACACCCAAUCCAGCUACUUAUUUAGCUUUUAUAUCCUGAAUUGAAGCCAACUGAGCGAGAACCUAGAGAACUGGAAAAAAAGUAUGAGAGCCAAGAAGAUGCAAAGGAAAAGGAAAGUGGGGAAAAUAAAACUUGCUAUCUGUCCCCACGUUUAUUUUGUGCUUACUAAAGUUCUUCUUCCUCCAUGUUCUCCCCCUUCUUGGUGGGGUGAGGAGGAGCUGAGUUAUUAAAACGCCAACCUUUCCAACAAGAGGCAAUAAAUCAAACCAAAUAUCCAAGGGAGGGAGCGAAAAGGAA
Molecule: long non-coding RNA, 618 nt
Organism: Gambusia affinis (western mosquitofish)
Lineage: Eukaryota; Metazoa; Chordata; Actinopteri; Cyprinodontiformes; Poeciliidae
Exons: 3
Source: RefSeq, a predicted model, not a curated record